CUGAAAGAGUUGCAUACUUCUUCACCCAGCACGGUCACUGAGCUGGCAAGCUAAAGUUAGCUAGUGAGUCACAGAAAUGUACGUUCAGUCUGUUAAUUAUUUCAGUCCGAUUGGACUUAUCCUACUCAAAUCAACAUGGCUCAACAUAGUUUUUUCGUUUUUGACCUCGACAUUCUUGUUGGAUAGAUACUUUGAUAGCUAACAUGUGGGCUAAUCUCCUUUGGAUGCCUCCAUCUAGUUCCCUAGAGCAGCAGACCGGCCCUCCAUUCCCAAACCUGAAGCCCCCUGUCCCCAGCAGGAAAUACCAAGAAAAACUUCCUAUUGAGGAAAUCUAAUCACUGAAUGUCCUACUACAAGGAUGUGGUCAGGUUGACACACUUAUGAGCCACAAUAACACAGAUCACACACACCAGAGAUUGCGAGGAUCUGUCAACCAGGUUCGGUGGGUGACAGGUAAGCGUGUUUCCACAAAGAUGUUCCAGACCUGGAGUGGCACGCUGGAACUUCCAGAGGCUUGUAGACCUGAAGCAGUGUGAGAUCUGACACCCCUACUAGCUCAACCACAGUUCUCACAGCUGCAGUCGUCUGCUCCUGCACCUGCUACACCGGCCACGACAGGUGAUUCAGGUAAUUAUCACAUGCUUGUAUACACACACACAUACUCUUCCUCACUUUGGGCUCUAUUCAAUCACAUCCACUUUAGCCGACAUCCGCAUAGCAGUUGUUUUGGCGGUGUCUGAGAUGAAACUGUGUUAGAGCUGUCAAAUUCACCAGCAGCUCCUGGCAUUAUACCUAAAGCGGACAUUGCCGUUGGCUGCACAGAGUCAUAUUAACAGAAAUCUCAUGCAGCCCUGUUUACAAGUUAGAACACUGGAAUUUGAGAUGUAAUCUCCACCUCAUUUAGGCUGAUAGAAAUCCUCAUUAUUUAGUUGAAUGAUUUAGAAUUUGAGCAUCAUUAUUUCUCUAUAACCUGCACUUUCUCAUUCUGAACUUGUAACGCAAGUAGGACGGGUGUAGUUUCGUGCCAGUGAUCAACAGCAGCUUCUUCCUGAUUUGACAGAUCCUACUCAGUUACAACGCCAAAACAUCAGCUAUGCAUCUUUCGGCUAUCGCCGGUUAACGCUUAAUCUGAUUGAAUCUAGGCCUUACACUCAUUCAGUCUGUUUAGUUGUAUGAUUAUUGUCAGUUAAGAAAAUGAUGCCUCUCUUUUAGAUCUGCCACCCCCAGCAGUCCUCUGCUGUGGUAUUUAAUUUACCGGCUACACCGGUUCCUACUACAUUGGCCGCGAAGGGAGAAUCUUUUGAGGAUUCCCAGAUGGAUACAGGUCAUUUAGAAUGAUAUUACAUACACAUACGCUCACUCACACCAACAGAUGUGCACACAAACAUGUUGUUGAACUGUAUACUUACUGUCACGUUGUGCAUCUCUCUUUCAGAUCUGCCAUGCACUCCACCACUACCCCAGACAGCCUCACCCAGAAGUGCAUGCACCGGGCCUAUCACAAAGCAGAGAUGGGUGGCUGACAAGGAAAAAUAAAAUAUAACAUGCACACACACUCUCUCUCUGUUACACACACAUUAUCCCCAAUGUAAAUAAAUUGUAAUUAUUUUAUUUUAGGAUUGGAGAUAUCUUACGCCUACAUAUCCAUUAUCAAUAGCUACAUAAUUACUCUAUCCAAUCAAAGUGUGAUUGAUAAUAUCCCACCCCACAAAAGUACGUGAAUAUGUAAAUACAUAGUAAUAACUCGUUUAUUUUAUGUUUGCUCCAUUUUAUUUGAGGAAAAUGUCUGCAAUAAAGUACAUUCACAUAAAGC
Molecule: long non-coding RNA, 1813 nt
Organism: Oncorhynchus tshawytscha (Chinook salmon)
Lineage: Eukaryota; Metazoa; Chordata; Actinopteri; Salmoniformes; Salmonidae
Source: Ensembl